AGCGAACGUUAGCGGCGGGCCUAACACAUGCAAGUCGAGCGAGAAAAGGGCUUCGGCCCUGAGUAAAGCGGCGGACGGGUGAGUAACACGUAGGUAAUCUUCCCUUGAGCGGGGGACAACGAGCCGAAAGGCUCGCUAAUACCGCAUAAGUUCAUAGGGACUCCGGUCUUCAUGAGGAAAGCUAGGUAGCAAUAUCCGGCACUCGAGGAGGAGCCUGCGUCGCAUCAGCUAGUUGGUGGGGUAACGGCCUACCAAGGCGAAGACGCGUAGCUGGUCUGAGAGGAUGAUCAGCCACACUGAAACUGAGACACGGUUCAGACUCCUACGGGAGGCAGCAGUGGGGAAUAUUGGACAAUGGGCGCAAGCCUGAUCCAGCCACGCCGCGUGAGUGAUGAAGGCC
RNAcentral lists this ribosomal RNA (400 nucleotides) under uncultured bacterium. RNAcentral's name for it is "bacterial SSU rRNA". It matches the Rfam family "Bacterial small subunit ribosomal RNA", at positions 29 to 416 of the family's 1533-position model. The record is from RNAcentral.